Molecule: long non-coding RNA, 233 nt
Filed under: Lathyrus oleraceus (garden pea)
Lineage: Eukaryota; Viridiplantae; Streptophyta; Magnoliopsida; Fabales; Fabaceae
Description: Pisum sativum (pea) long non-coding RNA (PSAT_LNC010394)
Source: RNAcentral
AGAAAACGAGGAAGAAGAAAGUGGAGAUGAGGAAUACAUGAGUGAUGAAGAUUGAUAAACAACUUUUUAAUGUUUUUUUAGCCUUUUUGAUGUUAAUUUGUUUUUUUUCCAGUUUUUAUUUUAUGAUAUUAUUGAACUUAUGUUGGUUUAUGUUGUUCCAUCCUUUGAUAGGACGAGGAAUUGUUGUAUUUUGGCGACAUUUCAUGUUGCCGUGACAUUUCUUUUGGAUGUUG